This is a long non-coding RNA of Pyrus x bretschneideri (Chinese white pear), 709 nucleotides long. RefSeq lists it as uncharacterized. The transcript has 2 exons. Lineage: Eukaryota; Viridiplantae; Streptophyta; Magnoliopsida; Rosales; Rosaceae. The record is from RefSeq and is a predicted model, not a curated record.
GUGCAUAGGUCAUCCACUUUUAUAACACAGAAGAAAUUGAGCACACAUCUUUUAGAUGGCUUGGGAUCACACGCAUAAGAAAUUUCCACACACACACAUAAGAAACUUUGCAUGGAACAAUGGAAGACUCGGAAAAUGAUAAUUAAUUAAUGGGCAACCCUUGAUUAAGCAUGCAAUACUCUGUUGUAAGUCAGCUAACUACUUUCACAAAAUAAAAAACCUAAAACGCGUCUUAGACAUUAUAUAUAUAUAUAUAUAUGUGUGUGUGUGUGUGUGUGUGUGUAUAAGUAGUUGCAUGGGGACGAAUAAGGAGCCAAACUUGUAUAUCAAUCUACAAUAUGGUUCACAAGGCUAGCGUUGUUUACAUGAUUCCCAUCAUUAUAUUGUUAUUGUUCUCAUCUGAAGUAGUCUUUGCCAAUGUUUAUGAAAAUUCAAAACACAAUGAGUUAGAGAAGACGGUCAGUAAGUUGCGUUUGCAAAUGGAGAUUAUUAAAGCAAAGAAAGUAGGCGUACCAAUACCAACUACGCCGUCUGGAGGGGGUACCAACUAAGUAGUAAUUUGGUUUACUUUUAUGUUGGGAUAAUUUAUAAGAUAAUUUCUGUAAUUUCGAAAGUUCUGAUAAGAUGUAAUCUUUUGGAUUAAAGUCGUCUACAAAUUGUAAUCUUCUUUAUUUUGUGUCUAUGAAUAAGAAUCAUAGUUUAUAAUUAA